GGGGACGUAUUGGUUUCGACGGAUUGGUUUUGAGAGGGGAAAGCAUAUUGUAGGCUCGUCUACAUUAAAAACGGAAACUGCAAAUUUAAAUGCAAACAACAAUGAAAAAUUAGCAUUAGCUGCUUAGUUAACGCAGGUGCUAUGUCCAUAGGUUACUCCCACGAAACCUAAAUGGGCAACAUUAGUGGGCAACCAAAUGUAAUAUGUUUGUGGUUACAUUUGAGAUUUUAACAAAAUAGUCCAAAUUAACUUUGUUAAUGAAAUUAGUUUGGGCGAAUAACAAUCAUUAACUAAAUAUGUAGAAACACCUUGCAUGCCUUUUCGGACGUGGGUUCAACUCCCACCGUCUCCACCA
This 355-nucleotide transfer-messenger RNA is filed under the name Christensenellales. RNAcentral describes it as "CALVNY01 sp944350085 Standard tmRNA". It matches the Rfam family "transfer-messenger RNA". Rfam says of the family: Bacterial tmRNA, also known as 10Sa RNA or SsrA, is named for its dual tRNA and mRNA-like properties. Its role is to liberate the mRNA from a stalled ribosome. To accomplish this part of the tmRNA is used as a reading frame that ends in a translation stop signal. The record is from RNAcentral. Lineage: Bacteria; Bacillati; Bacillota; Clostridia. RNAcentral also lists the same sequence under 1 other name.